AGUGAACGCUGGCGGUAGGCCUAACACAUGCAAGUCGAACGGCAGCACAGUAAGAGCUUGCUCUUACGGGUGGCGAGUGGCGGACGGGUGAGGAAUACAUCGGAAUCUACUUUUUCGUGGGGGGUAACGUAGGGAAACUUACGCUAAUACCGCAUACGACCUACGGGUGAAAGCAGGGGAUCUUCGGACCUUGCGCGAUUGAAUGAGCCGAUGUCGGAUUAGCUAGUUGGCGGGGUAAAGGCCCACCAAGGCGACGAUCCGUAGCUGGUCUGAGAGGAUGAUCAGCCACACUGGAACUGAGACACGGUCCAGAGUCCUACGGGAGGCAGCAGUGGGGAAUAUUGGACAAUGGGCGCAAGCCUGAUCCAGCCAUACCGCGUGGGUGAAGAAGACCUUCGGGUUGUAAAGCCCUUUUGUUGGGAAAGAAAGGCAGCAGGUUAAUACCCCGCUGUUCUGACGGUACCCAAAGAAUAAGCACCGGCUAACUUCGUG
RNAcentral lists this ribosomal RNA (492 nucleotides) under uncultured bacterium. RNAcentral's name for it is "partial 16S ribosomal RNA". It matches the Rfam family "Bacterial small subunit ribosomal RNA", at positions 29 to 507 of the family's 1533-position model. The record is from RNAcentral.